AUCACUUCUUGGCCUUUUGGCUAAGAUCAAGUGUAAUAUCUGUUCAUAUUAGAAAAUCUAGCUUCACAAAGAUAGGAUGUUGAAAAUGAAAGCAGGUUUUUCAGUGCUUUUGGGGCAAUCUCAGGAUAUUUCACCCUUACUUUAAUCCAGAGCACGUGGAGAUUUUAGAUGGUCUCAAACAGACUUUUAAGGUCACUCACU
This is a small nuclear RNA of Heterocephalus glaber (naked mole-rat), 201 nucleotides long. Its record names the gene U2. It matches the Rfam family "U2 spliceosomal RNA". Rfam says of the family: U2 is a small nuclear RNA (snRNA) component of the spliceosome (involved in pre-mRNA splicing). NCBI's taxonomy places the organism in Eukaryota, Metazoa, Chordata, Mammalia, Rodentia, Bathyergidae. The record is from Ensembl.